This 245-nucleotide ribosomal RNA is filed under the name uncultured bacterium. RNAcentral's name for it is "partial 16S ribosomal RNA". It matches the Rfam family "Bacterial small subunit ribosomal RNA", at positions 524 to 763 of the family's 1533-position model. The record is from RNAcentral.
UACGAAGGGGGCGUAGCGUUGUUCGGAAUUACUGGGCGUAAAGCGCACGUAGGCGGAUAUUUUAAGUCAGGGGUGAAAUCCCCGGGGGCUCAACCCCCGGAACUGCCUUUGAUACUGGGUAUCUCGAGUCCGAGAGAGGUGAGUGGAAUUCCGAGUGUAGAGGUGAAAUUCGUAGAUAUUCGGAGGAACACCAGUGGCGAAAGCGGCUCACUGGACCAUAACUGACGCUGAUGCACGAAAGCUAG